This 253-nucleotide ribosomal RNA is filed under the name uncultured bacterium. Its description in RNAcentral is "partial 16S ribosomal RNA". It matches the Rfam family "Bacterial small subunit ribosomal RNA", at positions 524 to 776 of the family's 1533-position model. The record is from RNAcentral.
UACGGAGGGGGCUAGCGUUGUUCGGAAUCACUGGGCGUAAAGCGCACGUAGGCGGACUCGCAGGUCAAUUGUGAAAUACCUGGGCUCAACCCGGGAACUGCAGUUGAAACCGCUUGUCUUGAAUACCUGAGAGGGUGGGGGAAUACCUGGUGGAGAAGUGAAAUUCGUAGAGAUCAGGUGGAACACCGGAGGCGAAGGCGCCUGCCUGGCAGUGUAUUGACGCUGAGGUGCGAAAGUGCGGGGAGCAAACAGG